GAGCGCGCGGGAUGCGUGCGUGCCGCCGAACGUCUUCGCGCGGCGGGCAUCGCGUGCAGGACGGUGAGUGUCGGUUCGACGCCGACCGCGCUCGC
This 95-nucleotide transfer RNA is filed under the name Caballeronia temeraria. Its description in RNAcentral is "tRNA-Ala". The record is from RNAcentral. Lineage: Bacteria; Pseudomonadati; Pseudomonadota; Betaproteobacteria; Burkholderiales; Burkholderiaceae.